This 518-nucleotide unclassified non-coding RNA is filed under the name Hevea brasiliensis (rubber tree). Lineage: Eukaryota; Viridiplantae; Streptophyta; Magnoliopsida; Malpighiales; Euphorbiaceae. The record is from RNAcentral.
GAAAGACGCUGAUCGGCGCGAAUAGUGAAGUGGCAGUUUCAGAAUCACGUGUCUGUACCGGAAAAGUGACUAGCUAUAUUCUCUGAAAGGAAGGACCAUAGAUAUGUCUUUUACCGUGGAGCUGUUCGCUCAGAUGAGUCGCAGGAAAAGGAGUAAGAGGCAUUUCGCCUUAAGAGAAUGUAACAAAAAGUUGGAACUUUUUAUGCACCGGUGUUCUUCAUCAUAUGGUCGGUAGAUCUUGUAACUGGUUGGGCUAUUAGAACUGAAGUAGUAAAUUGGAGGAGAUAGUUUUAUAGUUUAGACAAGCUAGUGAAUUUGACAAUUUAUGUGCCUUUUGGUUAGAUGUAGGUUUGAGGACUGCUUAUGAUUUAUAGGAAGCUUAAUUACUUUAAUUUUUUUACAUGGAGAACUUGGGCAAGAAGAGAAAGGGAGUAGAAAUUUCAAUGGUUUGUCAAAAAGAUGAGAGUCUAUUGACAGUAGUCAGGUCACAUUUAUCGUUGGAGGAUUAUUCUCGAAGG